UACGGAGGGUGCGAGCGUUGUCCGGAAUCACUGGGCGUAAAGGGCGCGUAGGCGGCCUGAUAAGUAGGGGGUGAAAUCCUGCGGCUUAACCGCAGGGCUGCCUUCUAAACUGUCGGGCUAGAGCACGGUAGAGGCAGAUGGAAUUCCCGGUGUAGCGGUGGAAUGCGUAGAGAUCGGGAAGAACAUCAGUGGCGAAGGCGGUCUGCUGGGCCGUUGCUGACGCUGAGGCGCGACAGCGUGGGGAGCAAACGGG
This 253-nucleotide ribosomal RNA is filed under the name uncultured bacterium. Its description in RNAcentral is "partial 16S ribosomal RNA". It matches the Rfam family "Bacterial small subunit ribosomal RNA", at positions 524 to 776 of the family's 1533-position model. The record is from RNAcentral.